GGUGUUGCAUGGCUGUCGUCAGCUCGUGUCGUGAGAUGUUGGGUUAAGUCCCGCAACGAGCGCAACCCUCAUCCUUAGUUACCAUCAGGUAAUGCUGGGGACUUUAAGGAAACUGCCAGUGAUAAACUGGANNNAGGUGGGGAUGAUGUCAAGUCAUCAUGGCCCUUAUGGAGUGGGCUACACACGUGCUACAAUGGUGGCUACAAUGGGCUGCAAAGUCGCGAGGUUAAGCUAAUCCCUUAAAAGCCAUCUCAGUUCGGAUUGUACUCUGCAACUCGAGUGCAUGAAGUUGGAAUCGCUAGUAAUCGUGGAUCAGCACGCCACGGUGAAUACGUUCCCGGGUCUUGUACACAC
Molecule: ribosomal RNA, 354 nt
Filed under: uncultured bacterium
Lineage: Bacteria
Description: bacterial SSU rRNA
Rfam family: Bacterial small subunit ribosomal RNA
Source: RNAcentral